AGUAUUCACUACAGUAAGUCGCUCUGGAUAAGAGUGUCUGCUAAAUGACUAAAA
Salmo salar (Atlantic salmon) is the source of this 54-nucleotide non-coding RNA. The record is from Rfam. Lineage: Eukaryota; Metazoa; Chordata; Actinopteri; Salmoniformes; Salmonidae.